This 5299-nucleotide long non-coding RNA is filed under the name Homo sapiens (human). Its description in RNAcentral is "HSALNT0031505". Lineage: Eukaryota; Metazoa; Chordata; Mammalia; Primates; Hominidae. The record is from RNAcentral.
AAAAAAAAAAAAAAAAAUUUAUAAGAUUUAUGCAAAGACUUUUUUUAAGCUCAUUAGCUAUCAUUAGUGUUAGUGUAUUUUAUGUGUGGCCCAAGACAAUUCUUCUUCCAGGGUAGCUCAAGGAAGACAAAAGAUUGGACACCUCUGCUGUAGACUUUCUUUUCACUUAUCUAAUUGUUUCCUUUGCUGUGCAAAAAGCUUUUAGUUUGAUGCAAUUUCAUUUAUUUAUUUGCUUUCUUCUCUGUGCUUUUGAGGUCUUAUUUUAAAAAUUCUUGCCCAGCCCAAUGUGAAGAAUUUUUCCUAUGUUUUCUUCUAGUAGUUUAAUAGUUAUGGGUUUUACACUUAAGUCUUGUCUUUAAUCCAUUUUGAGUCAAUUUUUCUAUAUGAUGAGAAGUAUGGGCUUAGUUUUAUUCUUCUGCAUGUGGAUAUCUGGUUCUCCCAGCACCCUUUAAGAGACUUUCUUUCCCCCAACAUGUGUUCUUGACACCUUUGUUGAAGAAAAUCAGUUGACUGUACUUGUUUGAAUUUAUUUCUGGACACUCUAUUCGGUUUUAUUAGUCUAUGUAUGUGUUUCUGUUCCAGUACCAUGUUGUUUUGGUUACUACAGCUUUGUAGCAUAUUUUUGAGUCAGGUAAUAUGAUGCCUCUAGCUUUGUUCUUUGUGCUCAGGAUUCAGUUGGCUGUUCUUAGUAUUUUGUGGUUCCAUAUGAAUGUUAGAAUUGUUUUUUCUAUUUCUGUGAAGAAUGUCAUUGAUAUUUUGAUAGAGAUUGCAUUAGGUCCGUAGAUCACUUUGGGUAAGAUGGCCAUUUUAACAAUGUUAAUUCUUCCAGUCCAUGAACAUGAGACAUUUUUCCAUUUAUUUGUGAUCUCCUCCGUUUCUUUCAUCAAAGUUUUAGAGUGUUUAGUGUAGAGGUAAAUCUUUCACUUUCUUGAUUAAGUUUAUUCCUAAGUAUCUUAUUUUUUAUAGCUUUUUAAUUUAUUGUUCAGGUAGUUCACUGUUGGCAUGUAAAAAUGCUACUGAUUUUCAGAUGUUGAUUUUGUAUCCUGCAAGUGUAAUAAAUUUGUUUAUUAGUUAUAACAAUUUUAUGGUGGAGUCUAUAGGAUUUUCUAUAUAUGAUUAUGUCAUCUGCAAACAGGGACAAUUUGACUCCCUCCUUUCCAAUUUGGAUGUCUUUUAUUUCUGUCUCUAGUCUAAUUGUUGUGGCUAGGACUUCGAUUCCAUGUUAAGUAUAAGUGGUUAAAGUGAGUAUCAUUUUCUUUUCCUUGAUCUUAGAGAAACAGCUUUCAGCUUUUAUCCAUUCAGUCGGAUGUUAGCAGUGUGUUUGUCAGAUAUGGCUUUUAUUGUGCUGAGUUACAUAUCCUCUCUAUCUAAUUUAUUGAGAAUUUUUAUUAUGACAAGGUGUUGAAUUUUACCACAUUCUUUUUCUAUAUCUAUUGAAAGGAUCAUAUGUUUUUCUUUCUUUCUGUUAAUGUUGUAUAUUACACUUAUUGAUUUGCAUGCGUUAAACCAUCCUUGAUCUCACUUGAUAAUAGUGAAUGAUCUUUUUAAUGUGUUAGUGCAUUCAGUUUGCUAGUAUGUUGUUGAGAAUUUUUGUAUCUAUGUUUAUCAGAGAUAUUGGCAUGUAGUUCUCUUUUUUUGUUUUAUCUUUCUCCGGUUUUGUCAUCAGGUUAAUGAUGACCUCCUACAAUGUCUAUGCACCUACUCUUGCUCUUUUUCCUUUGUACGUUUUUAAGAUAUUGUCACCAACAUGUUGCUUUGUCAUAAGUCCCUUUAACCAAACACUCUUUCCUUUAACUUCUGUCCAAAGGUUAACUUUGAGUGUAUGUUUCAGCUUUCUCACCGUUUUUUAGUCUGCAAAUCUAUGCCAUGUUUAAACAAUUCUCAAAAGAGCCCUGCCAUAGGGAGGUUUUAAGCAAGCUGUUUUCAUCUAAUAAAGACAAUUGUGGCUGGCUGAGGUGGCUCAUGUCUGUAAUCCCAGCAGUUUGGGAGGCCAAGGUAAGCAGAUCACUUGAGCCCAGGAGUUCAAGACCAGCCUAGGCAACAUGGUAAAACCCUGUCUCUACUAAAAAUGCAAUUAUUAGCUGGCUAUGGUGGUACAAGCUUGUAGUCCCACCUACUUGGGAGGCUGAGGGGGAAGAUCGCUUGAGCCUGGAAGGCAAAGGUUGCAGUGAUCUGAGAUUAUACCACUCCACUCCAGCCUGAGUGACAAAGCGAGAUCUUGUCUAAAAAAAAAAAAAAAAAAAAAAAAAAAAAAGGUGAAAUACACAGUAUGACAAAAUCUGCUUCUAUGAGUAUAUGUCACAAAAAUUACUUAGUAGGCAAUCAAGUACUUGGCUUUAGUUUCUUCUUGGUUAUACUUGGUUAUAGGACUUCAAAAGCAUUUUCUUUAGAAAAAUUCUCCCAUUCAACAUAUAAAAAUAACAAUAAAAUAGAAUCUUUGAAGACAUUAUUAGUUGUUGAUGAGAACUAUUAUUUUAUGAAGUCAAUAUUUUACUUAACAUUAAAACCUGGAUACAGUUUAUUAUGAUUUUUUUUCUUUCUACACACUUCCUCACCUUCUUUAUUUCUUGUUACAUUCAUUAGUUAAAUUGAAAAAAAUAAUGAUUAACCAAACUAAGCAUCAAGUAUACUUGAGGGCACUCCCACUUCAAUCUCAGGCUAGGGAAACAUAAGUUCAGUUGGCUGCUUCACAUAACAAAUUUAAUUAAAUAUUUGGAGCAUGGUUUAAGUAGAAACAUAUUUAUCCAGGAGAUGCUAUUGAAGGGCCACAACCUAUUAUGCUUAGAUGUUAACCAUGAUUUUAAACAACUGUAGCCAUUCUAUACUGCACAGUUCAUAGGUGCAGGGCUAGAACUAGGGUGAGGCUGGGGAGGCAUAUGCCUUUGGUGCAAAAGUUAAGGGGUUACUAAAAAACUCAAGAAUUAAGAUAAUAUUUUAAUGUACUAGGAAAAAAUAAAAUGCGAAAAUAUCCAUGACGAACAAAAAAGAUAACAUUUUCAAUAAAAACAAUGUAACAUUUAAUUUGUUUAAAGUCCAGUGUUGCUUAUUAGUUAAUUUACUUCAGACUUUAACAUGACUUGGCAGAGCAUUUUAUCCUGCCAUUACUUUAUAUUUCAUUUUUUAAAUCCUCAUUCUUAUUAUUUACUUAUUUAUUAUUUUAGUGACAGGUUCUCACUUUAUCACACAGGCUGGAGUACAAUGGCAUAAUCAUGGCUCACUGUAGCUUCAACUUCCUGGGCUCAAACAAUCCUCUUGCCCUGUCCUCUUGUGUAGCUAGAACUACAGAUUCAUGCCACUAGGUCCAGGUAAUUUGUAUUUUUCAAAAACUUUUUGUAGAGAGUGGGAUCUCACUGUGUUGCCCAGGGUCAAGUGAUAUUCCCACCUGGGCCUCCCAAAGUGCUAGGAUUACAGUUAUGAGUCACUGUACCUGGCCGGCGCCUCCUAAUUUUUGCACUCAAGGUAAGUGUCUUACCCAUCUUCCACUAGUCCUGGCCCUGCAUUAAAGGCUUUCUUUGUCACUAUAGCAAAAAGUAAGCAUUUCAGGUUAUACAGUGAAAGUUCAAACCAGAUACUCUUUUUUUCACCUCUCUGUUAAGAAGAGGAUUUGACAAUGUGUAGUAGAUCAUCAACUCUAAAACUGGAAAUUAUUACUUAUGGAUAACCAUAAUCCUUUCCACCACCCCCACACGACCACCCACACCCACCACAUUCUUAUUUAAUAUCUGUAAGAGAGGAUCUCAGAGUCUGUAUUUUAUAAUAAAUGCAAAAUUGUUCUGUUGCAGGUUGUUCUGGAAUCAUAGUUGAAGAAACAGUUGGCUAGACUCUAACAGCUGUUCACAAUUUCUCGUAUCUCUCCUGAUGGAGGACAGUGUUUUUAAAGAUUGCCAUGAAUCUCCAAAAAAGUUUCUAAUAUAUUCAUUGAAAAGAAUCUGCAUGUAAGUGGGCCCUCUGAAGUUCAAAUCCAAGUUGUUCAAGGAUCAGCUGCAGUUAUCUGUGAUUAUGAGCCUCAGGAGCACGUCAGAAGGUUAGAAAGUGUGAACAGUGGUAUGGCUUGGAUAUUUGUCCCCCAUAUCUCAUUUUGAAAGCCAAAUUCAUGAGUCCAAGAAUCAAGGGGUGGAAGUAGAAGUGGCACCACUCAUCAUCUUUACUUCUAAAGUAAAGAAAAUACAAGUGUCUACCUAGACACAUAUCCAGUAAAAGAUCUUUCAAAAAUGAAGAUAAAAUUAAGACUUUUAAAGACAUUUAAGUCUGAAAAAAUUUAUCACCAGCAGACUGACAUUACCAGAAAUGUCAAAAGAAACUCUUCAGGAGGAAGAGAAUGAUACAAGGUACAAUUGUGAAUGUAUACCAAGAUAUGAAGAAUGCUGAAAAUGGUAAUUAAACCCUCUUUCUUAUUAUUUAAAGAUAGUUUAAAUAUAAUUCGAUUUUAAUGCAAAAGAGUAACAGUGUAGUAUGAAAUGAAUGAAUAUAUACUGUUGCAAGGUUCUUACAGAAUACAUGGAAUGGUAUAAUAAUACUCGAAGGUAAACUAUUGUAAGUUACGUAUUUAUAUUAUAAAUCCUAAAGCCACCAUAAAAUAACAAAACACACAGAUAAGAAAUAAGCCCACAAAGGAGAUUUAAAAAGUAAAACACACUCAGUUGAGGAAAAUAAGGCAGAGAGAUGAACAAGAGAACAAAAAACAGAGAGGGCUAAUAUAAAACAAAUAACUGGCACAUUUCAACCUAACCAUAUUAAUAAUCAGAUUAGACAUAAAUGGUCUAAACACACUUUAAAAUGCAGAGAUUACCAAAGAGGAUAAAAUAGCCAAUUAAAAUCCCAACAUUCUUUUUUGUAAAAAAAUGGCAUACUGAUUCUAAAAUACAUAUUGAUAGGCAAAAGAUCUAAACUAUGUAAAUCAGCUUUGGAAAAGAACAGAGUUAGAGGACCAACAGUACCUGAUUUCAAAAUUUCUCAAAGUUGUUUAGGUAUUCUAAGUCUUUAGUAUAUCCAUAUGAACAUUAGAAUUACAAUCCAUAGGUUCAUCAUAUACAAAAAUUAACUCAAAAUGGAUCAUAAACCUUAAUGUAAAAUCUAAAACUAUAUAUAACUGUCAAAAAUCUAAAACUAUAAAAUCUAAAACUGUUAGACUUAUGCAGGUAACCUUUAUGACCUCAUGUUAGGCAAAAAUUUACUAGAUAAAAUACCAAAAGCGCAGUUCACAAAAGAGAAAAUUCAUAGACUGGACUUCAUCAAAAUUGAAAACUUCUGAUCUUAAAAAGAACAGGAAGGGGAACAUCACACUCUGGGGACUAUUGUG